GUAUUGUGUCAGACAAAUCAGUAUUUAAGGUCUUUUUUUAAAGAAAUGGACGCCGUGUGCUCCAGACCGAAGAAGAAAAGGACCAUCUGUUACGUUAACAGCAAGCAGUUACAGUUAGAAUUCUGGGUUUCCUCAGUGUCACUCACAUUACAUCACUGACUAGAAUGUUGUGAGAAUUCUACUUUGACCUGAGAAUUCUACUUUGAACUUUAAAAUUCUACUUUGACAUAGAACUCUUUCAGUUGCACCUGGCUGAGACAGAGACAACAUUACAAAGCGCUUGCUGCCAACAAUUUCACCCUAUAUUGAUUAUUGAUUGUUGAUUUUUGACUUGAUUGACUACCUUAUAUAUUUAAUUGAUUUAUUUAGUUUGAUUGCUUGUUUGUAAUAUUUACUGGGAGUUUUUUUUUGACGGUAAGAGAUUUUUAAGAGGUGAGUAAAAUUUAGCAAAAAAAGGAUUUGUUAGCAGGACAUUAGAGAUGAGGACGAACAGUAGCUACUCUGGCAGCGAGGACAAGAUGAGAAGACAGAUGAGCUGGGCCGAGCAAGUCGACAUCGCUUACCCCCUGGAUGAGUGCUGGAGUGAGAGCUGCCUGACAGAUCCCCAUGUCUGCAUGGAGGACCACCUCAUACCCAGGAAGAGGUCAGGAGAGAGGAGGCCUAAGCACGUCACCUUUGACCUGAAUCCCCAUGUCUGCAUGGAGGACCACCAAAUACCCAGGGAGAAGUCGGGAGAGAGGAGGCCUAAGGAGGUGGUCACCCUGGACCAGGCUCAGGACCACUGGAACACCUUUGACCUGAGUUGGCUGGACACCGUUGGGCCGGAUUGGCUCAGGAACGCAGAGGAGCUGACCCCAAAGGGGCAAAUAGACAUACUAUCAAGUCUCCUGUAUACGGGACAUCCCAGCACUCUGUUCACAAGAGUUGUUAACAGCAGACAGAAUGUUGGAGGGUACUGCUAUGUCCAUUCCACAGUUCCACCUGUCUUCUGUACAUGAGGAUAUAGGAGGAGAGGGGAGGGGAGGGACAGAACAUAUCCAUAUGUG
Clupea harengus (Atlantic herring) is the source of this 1046-nucleotide long non-coding RNA. The record is from Ensembl. NCBI's taxonomy places the organism in Eukaryota, Metazoa, Chordata, Actinopteri, Clupeiformes, Clupeidae.